Non-coding RNA from Potamilus streckersoni, 78 nucleotides. NCBI's taxonomy places the organism in Eukaryota, Metazoa, Mollusca, Bivalvia, Unionida, Unionidae. The record is from the annotation of a GenBank genome assembly.
GCUCUGGUGGCCUAGUAGUUAGAGCGUCCACCUCAGAUACGGGAAGUCGUGGGUUCGAACCCCAGAUGAGUCAUAGCA